This 253-nucleotide ribosomal RNA is filed under the name uncultured bacterium. RNAcentral describes it as "partial 16S ribosomal RNA". It matches the Rfam family "Bacterial small subunit ribosomal RNA", at positions 524 to 776 of the family's 1533-position model. The record is from RNAcentral.
CACGUAGGGUGCAAGCGUUGUCCGGAAUUAUUGGGCGUAAAGAGCUCGUAGGCGGUCUGUCGCGUCGGCUGUGAAAUCCCGAGGCUCAACCUCGGGUCUGCAGUCGAUACGGGCAAACUAGAGUAUUGCAGGGGAGACUGGAAUUCCUGGUGUAGCGGUGAAAUGCGCAGAUAUCAGGAGGAACACCGGUGGCGAAGGCGGGUCUCUGGGCAAUAACUGACGCUGAGGAGCGAAAGCGUGGGGAGCGAACAGG